RNAcentral lists this ribosomal RNA (639 nucleotides) under uncultured Actinomycetes bacterium. Its description in RNAcentral is "bacterial SSU rRNA". It matches the Rfam family "Bacterial small subunit ribosomal RNA", at positions 232 to 885 of the family's 1533-position model. The record is from RNAcentral. Lineage: Bacteria; Bacillati; Actinomycetota; Actinomycetes.
CGCGGCCUAUCAGCUUGUUGGUGAGGUAACGGCUCACCAAGGCAUCGACGGGUAGCUGGUCUGAGAGGACGAUCAGCCACACUGGGACUGAGACACGGCCCAGACUCCUACGGGAGGCAGCAGUAGGGAAUCUUGCGCAAUGGGCGAAAGCCUGACGCAGCAACGCCGCGUGGGGGAUGAAUGCCUUCGGGUUGUAAACCCCUUUCAGCAGGGACGAAAAUGACGGUACCUGCAGAAGAAGCUCCGGCCAACUACGUGCCAGCAGCCGCGGUAAUACGUAGGGAGCGAGCGUUGUCCGGAAUUAUUGGGCGUAAAGAGCUCGUAGGCGGUUCAGUAAGUCGGGUGUGAAAACUCAAGGCUCAACCUUGAGACGCCACUCGAUACUGCUGUGACUUGAGUCCGGUAGAGGAGUGUGGAAUUCCUGGUGUAGCGGUGAAAUGCGCAGAUAUCAGGAGGAGCACCAGCGGCGAAGGCGGCACUCUGGGCCGGUACUGACGCUGAGGAGCGAAAGCAUGGGGAGCAAACAGGAUUAGAUACCCUGGUAGUCCACGCCGUAAACGGUGGGAACUAGAUGUGGGGUCCGUUCCACGGAUUCCGUGUCGCAGCUAACGCAUUAAGUUCCCCGCCUGGGGAGUACGG